Molecule: ribosomal RNA, 1201 nt
Filed under: metagenome
Description: bacterial SSU rRNA
Rfam family: Bacterial small subunit ribosomal RNA
Source: RNAcentral
AGAGUUUGAUCCUGGCUCAGAACGAACGUUGGCGGCGUGGAUUAGGCAUGCAAGUCGAGCGAGAUUAACCUUUUUCAAUUCUUCGGAAAAGAAGCUGGUUAUGAGAGCGGCGAACGGGUGAGUAAUAAAUGGUUAAUUUGCCUCUUUGUUCGGAAUAGCCAUCGGAAACGAUGAUUAAUGCCGGAUGUGUUCAGGUGCUGCAUAGCACCUUAUAUAAAGGCGGGGAUUCUUCGGAACCUGUCGCAAAGAGAUAAGCCCAUUUCCUAUCAGCUAGUUGGUGAGGUAAUGGCUCACCAAGGCUUACGGGUAGCCGGCCUGAGAGGGCGAUCGGCCACACUGGGACUGAGACACUGCCCAGACUCCUACGGGAGGCUGCAGUCGAGAAUCAUUGACAAUGUACGAAAGUAUGAUCAUGCGACGCCGCGUGGAGGAAGACGGCCUUUGGGUUGUAAACUCCUGUCAGCAGGGAGGAAAGAUAGUUAACUUAAUACGUUAGCUAUUUGACAGUACCUGCAGAGGAAGUCACGGCUAACUCUGUGCCAGCAGCCGCGGUAAUACAGAGGUGGCGAACGUUGUUCGGAUUUACUGGGCGUAAAGGGUCCGCAGGCGGCUCGGUGUGUCAGAUGUGAAAGCCCACGGCUUAACCGUGGAAUUGCAUUUGAAACUGCCGGGCUAGAGUACUGGAGGGGAGAAGGGAACACUUGGUGUAGCGGUGAAAUGCGUAGAUAUCAAGUGGAACACCGGUGGCGAAGGCGCUUCUCUGGACAGAUACUGACGCUCAUGGACGAAAGUUAGGGUAGCGAAAGGGAUUAGAUACCCCUGUAGUCCUAACCGUAAACGGUGUGCACUAGACGUGGGAGGCUUUACCCCCUUCCGUGUCUGAGCUAACGCAUUAAGUGCACCGCCUGGGGAGUACGGUCGCAAGAUUAAAACUCAAAGGAAUUGACGGGGACCCGCACAAGCGGUGGAGCAUGCGGCUUAAUUCGAUGCAACGCGAAGAACCUUACCUGGGCUUGACAUAUAGCUGCGUACGAUCCGAAAGGAACGUAGCCUUCGAGGGUGCUAUACAGGUGCUGCAUGGCUGUCGUCAGCUCGUGCCGUGAGGUGUUGGGUUAAGUCCCGCAACGAGCGCAACCCCUGUGUUUAGCUGCCAGCACGUAAUGGUGGGAACUCUAAACAGACUGCUAGUGAAAACCAGAGG